UCCUACGGGAGGCAGCAGUGGGGAAUAUUGCACAAUGGGCGAAAGCCUGAUGCAGCAACGCCGCGUGAGCGAAGAAGGCCUUCGGGUCGUAAAGCUCUGUCCUAAGGGAAGAAAAAUGACGGUACCUUAGGAGGAAGCCCCGGCUAACUACGUGCCAGCAGCCGCGGUAAUACGUAGGGGGCGAGCGUUAUCCGGAAUCACUGGGCGUAAAGGGUGCGUAGGCGGCCAAAUAAGCCAGGGGUGAAAGGCUGCGGCUCAACCGCAGUAAGCCUUUGGAACUGUAUGGCUUGAGUGCAGGAGAGGAGAGUGGAAUUCCUAGUGUAGCGGUGAAAUGCGUAGAUAUUAGGAGGAACACCAGUGGCGAAGGCGACUCUCUGGACUGCAACUGACGCUGAGGCACGAAAGCGUGGGGAGCGAACAGGAUUAGAUACCCUGGUAGUCCACGCCGUAAACGAUGAGUGCUAGGUGUCGGGGGUUCACACCCUCGGUGCCGGAGUUAACGCAUUAAGCACUCCGCCUGGGGAGUACGGUCGCAAGACUGAAACUCAAAGGAAUUGACGGA
Molecule: ribosomal RNA, 562 nt
Filed under: uncultured bacterium
Lineage: Bacteria
Description: bacterial SSU rRNA
Rfam family: Bacterial small subunit ribosomal RNA
Source: RNAcentral